Molecule: small RNA, 2082 nt
Filed under: Pongo abelii (Sumatran orangutan)
Lineage: Eukaryota; Metazoa; Chordata; Mammalia; Primates; Hominidae
Description: retained intron
Source: RNAcentral
GGACACCUCUAGUGACACUUCCAGGUCAUCCCACCACAGAGGCUGCAUUAACCUCAGCCGCCCUCAGUGCCUUGCUCUCCCAGACAACAUCAGGCCUCAGUCUAGGUGCCCUGUCUCCAGAAUGCCCCUCUAGCCAGGGGCACGGCAUUUAGGGAUGGGAUACCUGUCUAGCACCUGACAAAUUCCAGAGUCACAGUGGCCUCUAGAGCAUGAGAUGGGCUCUGAGCCGCCGGCACACCCCGCCCAACCUGCCCAUCCCGCCCAUCCCAUGUUCCUCUGCAAUCUGCCAGGUCCCAAAUGGGGACACAAUGGCUCACAAAUGGGGAGGAAGACAAUCUCUCCAGGUCUUCCAGACGGGGUGGCCCGCCCUCCCCAAAGCCACCAAAGGUGCCAAGCCUAUGCAGUGGAAUGUCUGGGCCGCUCUGCCCCUGUCCUCUGCAGGGAGCGGCCGGGGCUUGGCCAGCUGCUGGGGCUGCUUGGCUGCCUCCUGAUGCCCAAGCCUCUCCAUCUGCAGGCACCCUUCGACGGCUCCCGCCUGGUCUUCCCCCCUGUGCCAGCCUCCCUGGUGAUCGGCGUCUUCUACUUGUGCAUGCAGCUCAUCCUGCCCGAGGCGGUGGGGGGCACUGUGUUUGCGGGGGGCCUCCUGGGCUACGUCCUCUACGACAUGACCCAUUACUACCUGCACUUCGGCUCGCCGCACAAGGGCUCCUACCUGUACAAACUGAAGGCCCACCACGUCAAGCACCACUUUGCACAUCAGAAGUCAGGAUUUGGUAUCAGCACUAAAUUGUGGGAUUACUGUUUCCACACCCUCACUCCAGAGAAACCCCACCUGAAGACGCAGUGACAACUGCCACCCCCUCCGUCCUGCCCUCAGCCCAGCCCUGGCCCCUUCCCGACCCCCACCCGCCAUCCAGACCCCAUUAAGAAGGUUGGCUUGGCCAGGCAGGAUGGGCUCUGUCUGGCCCUGCGCCUAGUGGAAGGUGCUGAGGGGGCCCUGAGGCAGGACCGCCCUCCUGACCCCUAGUAGGAGGCUCACAUCCACUUGGUGGCCAGGUGGCCCUUGGUGACCCGCUUCUUCCUGGAGCGUCCCUGCCUAGAGCUCAGCCCACAAGACUGCUUCAGGACCUGGCCACAGGUAGCAGCUGCAAGGGGAAAUGAAGAAAACUGACCCCUCGUGGCCACCUGUGUCACUCUUGUGCCUUAGCAUCGUGGGCUGCCUAGGAGCUGCCUGCACGGCACAGCUCCGCGUUCACAGUCAGAAGUGGGUCUGUGGGACCUGUGGUCCCUGUCCUCCCUGCUGUCCCUUCUGGGGAGGCUUUGGUGGCUCUGAGGUGGACAAAGAGCUCUCGCAAGAAGAGACAGCAUGAUGCCUUCCACAGUCCACUCCAGACCCUGGGGCAGCCCCUUUGGCCCUGUCAGCUGUCUGUGUCAUUGGGCCCAGGGUGGCUGGCAGGAGUCCCAGCUGCUUGCUUUAGGACCUGGCAUCUUCUCUCGCCAUCCCUCCCCUGCCUCCAGAAUCACAGCCCUUCUCCCCAAGGGAGGCUGAAGAGGCUUCUCCACCGGUGGCAGCCCCACCCCGUCCCCGGCCAUUCUUGGCCUCUACCCCACUCAGCCCCCUACUCGGGCCCUCCCAGAAGGAGCCACCUCUCAGUGCCUCACCUCCUCCUGCCUCCCAGCCUCCGCAGAUGAGGUUCCUGCCCCUUCCUCCUCGUAACCAAAACCCUCACUGCUCCCAGGACAGUCUUAUUUAUAAACCAGACACAUGUUCUUAGUCUGGUCCCAGACCAAGGAGCUGGUCAGACGGCCCUUUCUAAUCCUACAUGUUGAGCUUAUGUAAAAAAUGUUGUUUCCUCCUGUUUUUGGUUCUUUUCUUACCCACAAACCAUUACUACUUGAAACUUAAAAAACUUGCCUAGUGUAAAGGCUAAAGAGAAGCAGUUUGACGGACCUUGUGAUUUGUACUGUUUGCUGCGGAGCUAUUUAAAGAUUUUGGAAUAAAUAUACAAAACUACGGUUGUGAAAUAAAAACUUAAAUUGUAUAUUUUGAAAAAUAAAACACUGAAAAGAAACCAACAAAAA